UGGUUCUCGCAUCGAUGAAGAACGCAGCGAAACGCGAUAGGUAAUGUGAAUUGCAGAAUUCCGUGAAUCAUCGAAUCUUUGAACGCACAUUGCGCUCCCUGGUAUUCCUAGGAGCAUGUCUGUCUGAGCGUCAGUACACACCCUCCGUGAACAUUUGUUUGUUUGUCGGGUCUUGAGUUUGGGGGGUGGGCGAAAGCUCCCCCCCCUCCCUCUAAAGUGGAACGCACAGCGGCCCGCCUACCACCCCCCAGAAAGACGUAGUAAUACAACAAUGAAUCGUCCGCUAAAGGGAUACAAGGCGACGGCUUGCCUCGAAUCUUUUCUCUAAGGUUUGACCUCAGAUCAGACAAGAAUACCCGCUGA
This 363-nucleotide unclassified non-coding RNA is filed under the name uncultured fungus. Its description in RNAcentral is "partial contains 5.8S ribosomal RNA and internal transcribed spacer 2". The stretch from base 1 to 133 matches the Rfam family "5.8S ribosomal RNA", at positions 22 to 154 of the family's 154-position model. Lineage: Eukaryota; Fungi. The record is from RNAcentral.